This 394-nucleotide ribosomal RNA is filed under the name uncultured bacterium. RNAcentral describes it as "partial 16S ribosomal RNA". It matches the Rfam family "Bacterial small subunit ribosomal RNA", at positions 360 to 773 of the family's 1533-position model. The record is from RNAcentral.
AAUAUUGGACAAUGGGGGCAACCCUGAUCCAGCCAUGCCGCGUGUGUGAAGAAGGUCUUCGGAUUGUAAAGCACUUUAAGUUGGGAGGAAGGGUUGUAGAUUAAUACUCUGCAAUUUUGACGUUACCAACAGAAUAAGCACCGGCUAACUUCGUGCCAGCAGCCGCGGUAAUACGAAGGGUGCAAGCGUUAAUCGGAAUUACUGGGCGUAAAGCGCGCGUAGGUGGUUCAGUACCUGGGAACUGCUUUCAUAACUGCUGAGCUAGAGUACGGUAGAGGGUAGUGGAAUUUCCUGUGUAGCGGUGAAAUGCGUAGAUAUAGGAAGGAACACCAGUGGCGAAGGCGACUACCUGGACUGAUACUGACACUGAGGUGCGAAAGCGUGGGGAGCAAAC